This 253-nucleotide ribosomal RNA is filed under the name uncultured bacterium. Its description in RNAcentral is "partial 16S ribosomal RNA". It matches the Rfam family "Bacterial small subunit ribosomal RNA", at positions 524 to 776 of the family's 1533-position model. The record is from RNAcentral.
UACGUAGGGUGCGAGCGUUAAUCGGAAUUACUGGGCGUAAAGCGUGCGCAGGCGGUUUUGUAAGCCAGAUGUGAAAUCCCCGGGCUCAACCUGGGAAUGGCAUUUGGGACUGCAAGGCUGGAGUACGGCAGAGGAGACUGGAAUUCCUGGUGUAGCAGUGAUAUGCGUAGAGAUCAGGAGGAAUACCGAUGGCGAAGGCAGGUCUCUGGGCUGAUACUGACGCUCAUGCACGAAAGCGUGGGGAGCAAACAGG